Molecule: transfer RNA, 76 nt
Filed under: Acidobacteriota bacterium
Lineage: Bacteria; Pseudomonadati; Acidobacteriota
Also listed under: 1 other name
Description: Acidobacteria bacterium tRNA-His
Rfam family: tRNA
About the family: Transfer RNA (tRNA) molecules are approximately 80 nucleotides in length. Their secondary structure includes four short double-helical elements and three loops (D, anti-codon, and T loops).
Source: RNAcentral
GCGGCUAUAGUUCAGGGGUUAGAACGCCAGAUUGUGGUUCUGGAUGUCGUGGGUUCAAAUCCCACUAGCCGCCCCA